AGACCCGAAACCCGGUGAUCUAGCCAUGGGCAGGUUGAAGGUUGGGUAACACUAACUGGAGGACCGAACCGACUAAUGUUGAAAAAUUAGCGGAUGACUUGUGGCUGGGGGUGAAAGGCCAAUCAAACCGGGAGAUAGCUGGUUCUCCCCGAAAGCUAUUUAGGUAGCGCCUCGUGAAUUCAUCUCCGGGGGUAGAGCACUGUUUCGGCAAGGGGGUCAUCCCGACUUACCAACCCGAUGCAAACUGCGAAUACCGGAGAAUGUUAUCACGGGAGACACACGGCGGGUGCUAACGUCCGUCGUGAAGAGGGAAACAACCCAGACCGCCAGCUAAGGUCCCAAAGUCAUGGUUAAGUGGGAAACGAUGUGGGAAGGCCCAGACAGCCAGGAUGUUGGCUUAGAAGCAGCCAUCAUUUAAAGAAAGCGUAAUAGCUCACUGGUCGAGUCGGCCUGCGCGGAAGAUGUAACGGGGCUAAACCAUGCACCGAAGCUGCGGCAGCGACACUGUGUGUUGUUGGGUAGGGGAGCGUUCUGUAAGCCUGUGAAGGUGUGCUGUGAGGCAUGCUGGAGGUAUCAGAAGUGCGAAUGCUGACAUAAGUAACGAUAAAGCGGGUGAAAAGCCCGCUCGCCGGAAGACCAAGGGUUCCUGUCCAACGUUAAUCGGGGCAGGGUGAGUCGACCCCUAAGGCGAGGCCGAAAGGCGUAGUCGAUGGGAAACAGGUUAAUAUUCCUGUACUUGGUGUUACUGCGAAGGGGGGACGGAGAAGGCUAUGUUGGCCGGGCGACGGUUGUCCCGGUUUAAGCGUGUAGGCUGGUUUUCCAGGCAAAUCCGGAAAAUCAAGGCUGAGGCGUGAUGACGAGGCACUACGGUGCUGAAGCAACAAAUGCCCUGCUUCCAGGAAAAGCCUCUAAGCAUCAGGUAACAUCAAAUCGUACCCCAAACCGACACAGGUGGUCAGGUAGAGAAUACCAAGGCGCUUGAGAGAACUCGGGUGAAGGAACUAGGCAAAAUGGUGCCGUAACUUCGGGAGAAGGCACGCUGAUAUGUAGGUGAAGUCCCUCGCGGAUGGAGCUGAAAUCAGUCGAAGAUACCAGCUGGCUGCAACUGUUUAUUAAA
Molecule: ribosomal RNA, 1117 nt
Filed under: Escherichia coli
Lineage: Bacteria; Pseudomonadati; Pseudomonadota; Gammaproteobacteria; Enterobacterales; Enterobacteriaceae
Description: partial 23S ribosomal RNA
Rfam family: Bacterial large subunit ribosomal RNA
Source: RNAcentral